AUUUCUAUGCACGUGUAAACAUGUCACCCUGCAGACAGAAAUAGCCUAUUUGCAUCUAAGUUUGAACUUCUUUGCAAGUAGGGCAGUGUUAUAUAGUGAUUAUUCACAAUGAUUUAGCAACAUUGUGAAAGCGGCAAAGAGUCGGUGUCUAAAUCAAUGUAAAAUGGUUUACUUAUAGUUGCUUUUAAAAAAAGGUGUUUUUGGUGAUGCACUGCAGAGUUUAGCUCCAACUCUGGCAAGAUUUGAAUAGCCCUGGUCUAUAGACUGU
Long non-coding RNA from Carassius carassius (crucian carp), 268 nucleotides. RefSeq lists it as uncharacterized. The record is from RefSeq and is a predicted model, not a curated record. The transcript has 3 exons. Lineage: Eukaryota; Metazoa; Chordata; Actinopteri; Cypriniformes; Cyprinidae.